Molecule: ribosomal RNA, 492 nt
Filed under: Williamsia muralis
Lineage: Bacteria; Bacillati; Actinomycetota; Actinomycetes; Mycobacteriales; Nocardiaceae
Description: bacterial SSU rRNA
Rfam family: Bacterial small subunit ribosomal RNA
Source: RNAcentral
GGGCGCAAGCCUGAUGCAGCGACGCCGCGUGAGGGAUGACGGCCUUCGGGUUGUAAACCUCUUUCACCAGGGACGAAGCGAAAGUGACGGUACCUGGAGAAGAAGCACCGGCCAACUACGUGCCAGCAGCCGCGGUAAUACGUAGGGUGCGAGCGUUGUCCGGAAUUACUGGGCGUAAAGAGCUCGUAGGCGGUUUGUCGCGUCGUUCGUGAAAACUUGGGGCUUAACUCCAAGCGUGCGGGCGAUACGGGCAGACUUGAGUACUACAGGGGAGACUGGAAUUCCUGGUGUAGCGGUGAAAUGCGCAGAUAUCAGGAGGAACACCGGUGGCGAAGGCGGGUCUCUGGGUAGUAACUGACGCUGAGGAGCGAAAGCGUGGGUAGCGAACAGGAUUAGAUACCCUGGUAGUCCACGCCGUAAACGGUGGGUACUAGGUGUGGGUUCCUUUUCACGGGAUCCGUGCCGUAGCUAACGCAUUAAGUACCCCGCCUG